GACGAACGCUGGCGGCGUGCUUAACACAUGCAAGUCGAACGGAAAGGCCCGGCUUUUGUGGGGUGCUCGAGUGGCGAACGGGUGAGUAACACGUGAGUAACCUGCCCUUGUAUUUGGGGUAACUUCAGGGAAAUGGGGCGAAUAUCGGAGAGGAGCUCCUGCUGCAUGGGGGGGGUUGGAAAGGUUCGGCGGUUGGGGAUGGACUAGAGGCUUAUCAGCUUGUUUGUGGGGUAGUGGCUUACCAAGGCUUUGACGGGUAGCCGGCCUGAGAGGGUGACCGGCCACAUUGGGACUGAGAUACGGCCCAGACUCCUACGGGAGGCAGCAGUGGGGAAUAUUGCACAAUGGGCGGAAGCCUGAUGCAGCAACGCCGCGUGCGGGAUGACGGCCUUCGGGUUGUAAACCGCUUUCGCCGGUGACGAAGCGUGAGUGACGGUAAUGGGUAAAGAAGCACCGGCUAACUACGUG
Molecule: ribosomal RNA, 468 nt
Filed under: uncultured bacterium
Lineage: Bacteria
Description: partial 16S ribosomal RNA
Rfam family: Bacterial small subunit ribosomal RNA
Source: RNAcentral